GGUUGAUCCUGCCAGCAAUCAUAUGCUUGUCUCAAAGAUUAAGCCAUGCAUGUCUAAGUAUAAGUGAUUAUACAGCGAAACUGCGAAUGGCUCAUUAUAUCAGUUAUAAUCUACUUGAUCGAUUCUGUUAUUUGGAUAACUGUAGGAAUUCUAGAGCUAAUACAUGCAAAAUGACCGGAAUGGGGGCAACCUUAUGAAGGUCGCGUUUACUAGGAUAGAAACCAAGAUGGGGCGCAAGCUUCAUUUAACAGAUGACUCAUAGUAAGUUUUACGCGAAUCGAGGUUUCGGCCU
RNAcentral lists this ribosomal RNA (292 nucleotides) under uncultured eukaryote. RNAcentral's name for it is "partial 18S ribosomal RNA". It matches the Rfam family "Eukaryotic small subunit ribosomal RNA", at positions 6 to 285 of the family's 1831-position model. The record is from RNAcentral.